CACGUAGGGUGCGAGCGUUGUCCGGAAUUAUUGGGCGUAAAGAGCUCGUAGGCGGUGUGUCGCGUCGAACGUGAAAUCCCCGGGCUCAACCCGGGAACUGCGUCCGAUACUGGUGGGCUUGAAUCCGGGAGAGGGAUGCGGAAUUCCAGGUGUAGCGGUGAAAUGCGUAGAUAUCUGGAGGAACACCGGUGGCGAAGGCGGCAUCCUGGACCGGUAUUGACGCUGAGGCGCGAAAGCCAGGGGAGCAAACGGG
This 253-nucleotide ribosomal RNA is filed under the name uncultured prokaryote. Its description in RNAcentral is "partial 16S ribosomal RNA". It matches the Rfam family "Bacterial small subunit ribosomal RNA", at positions 524 to 776 of the family's 1533-position model. The record is from RNAcentral.